This 65-nucleotide transfer RNA is filed under the name Megaporus rufipes. Its description in RNAcentral is "tRNA-Ala". Lineage: Eukaryota; Metazoa; Arthropoda; Insecta; Coleoptera; Dytiscidae. The record is from RNAcentral.
GGGAUUAUAGUUAAUUAUAACAUUUAGGUUGCAUCUAAAAAAUAUUGAAUGCUCAAUUUUUCUCA